RNAcentral lists this ribosomal RNA (253 nucleotides) under uncultured bacterium. RNAcentral describes it as "partial 16S ribosomal RNA". It matches the Rfam family "Bacterial small subunit ribosomal RNA", at positions 524 to 776 of the family's 1533-position model. The record is from RNAcentral.
UACGUAGGGCGCAAGCGUUGUCCGGAAUUAUUGGGCGUAAAGAGCUCGUAGGCGGCUUGUCACGUCGGUUGUGAAAGCCCGGGGCUUAACCCCGGGUCUGCAUUCGAUACGGGCAGACUAGAGUGUGGUAGGGGAGAUCGGAAUUCCUGGUGUAGCGGUGAAAUGCGCAGAUAUCAGGAGGAACACCGGUGGCGAAGGCGGAUCUCUGGGCCAUUACUGACGCUGAGGAGCGAAAGCGUGGGGAGCGAACAGG